CUGAGAUCUAACUUCCCUGCUGUGAUCCCUGCCUUUCUACUAACAGGGAGCCCAGGCGCAGAGCUACUAAUGAGCAUGCUGGAGAGAGUGUCCAGCCCAGCUCCGGCUAGAGACAAUCCACCUGUCUGCUCUCCGACGCAGGUCAGCCUGAGCUGCAAUUUGGACUUUUCUGUGAGUUGGGAGAGACAGCCACAUCCCUGCUCUGAGCUACAGCAAAGGGCCAUGUGUGCACCAGGACUCUGUAACUCAUUUAAACUCUUAUGAGGAAAAGAAAGAAAAAACCCUGAAGCUCUAGAGACUUAGUACAUUGCUACAAGUUUGUAGGAGGUUUGCAAUCGAGCAGCUAUGAACAGCACUGCCUUGGUGUUUGCCACCUCGCAACACUGGUGAGACAGAAAAGCACAGAAGCAUUUGAGAGAAGUUUUUAAAGUUCUGGUGAAGACAGAUCAUUCCACCCCCCGGAUAAGAACUGCCACAAACACACAGAUGCAGCUCUGAGGAAUUUCUCCCAUUAUGGUAAGUUAGGGUAUUUUGUGCAACUUAUUGCAACACAUAUUUUUCCUUAUUUUAGAAUUACCAUUAUU
Corvus moneduloides (New Caledonian crow) is the source of this 584-nucleotide long non-coding RNA. Lineage: Eukaryota; Metazoa; Chordata; Aves; Passeriformes; Corvidae. The record is from Ensembl.